GGGACGGGUUGGUGCCGUCCUCACACGGCGGAAGUCGAGAGUUCGAAUCUCUCCCCGCCCACCA
RNAcentral lists this transfer RNA (64 nucleotides) under Deltaproteobacteria bacterium. Its description in RNAcentral is "tRNA-OTHER". The record is from RNAcentral. RNAcentral also lists the same sequence under 1 other name. Lineage: Bacteria; Pseudomonadati; Myxococcota; Myxococcia.